AUACUCUUUCUGAUUCGGCUGCCACCAAUUGGGUCGUCUUGAGUGUGGGUCCGGCGUCCCUAGUGACAGAUCUUAGGAUUUGGGUACAAGGCAUUAGACCCAUCGACUUCAAACUUCUUCGUCUCCAUUAUCUUCCCCGAGAAUGAAUACUGGAGCUUCAGCCGAUCAGGCGGUAAACACCGUUACUUCGCUGUUGGCAGCCUUGGCGCUUGCACCAGCGCCUACGGUCGCUUCACCCAAUCAGCCUUCUGGGUCUCAACCUCGGGCUGUCCCUAUUCCUACUGCCGUGGAUCCGGCGCCGCUUCCUUCGCCGGUCAACGGUGACACUACAAUGUCCGAUUCACAGCCGGGAAUUGUUACUCGGUGCCUGCACCCCUUCGAUCCUCCGCAGCCCGACAGACGUCGCCUUGUUUCAGUGGACACUGCGGCAAAGGUGCAAUUGAGUUUGCCCGACUACAUUUCUUUCCUGGUCGACGAUUUGGUUGGCUACCUCGACUUGGCAGGCUAUACUCUUUCUGAUUCGGCUGCCACCAAUUGGGUCGUCUUGAGCAUGGGUCCAGCGUCCCUAGUGACAGAUCUUAGGAUUUGGGUACAAGGCAUUAGAUCCAUCGACUUCAAACUUCUUCGUCUCCAUUAUCUUCCCCGAGAAUGAAUACUGGAGCUUCAGCCGAUCAGGCAGUAAACACCGUUACUUCACCGUUGGCGGCCUUGGCACUUGCACCGGCGCCUACGGUCGCUUCACCCAAUCAGCCUUCUGGGUCUCAACCUCGGGCUGUCCCUAUUCCUACUGCCGUGGAUCCGGCACCGCUUCCUUCACCGGUCAACGGUGACACUACAAUGUCCGAUUCACAGCCGGGCACUGUUACUUGGCACCUGCACCCCUUCGAUCCUCCGCAGCCCGACAGACGUCGCCUUGUUUCAGUGGACGCUGCAGCAAAGGUGCAAUUGAGUUUGCCCGACUACAUUUCUUUCCUGGUCGACGAUUUGGUUGGCUACCUCGACUUGGCAGGCUAUACUCUUUCUGAUUCGGCUGCCACCAAUUGGGUCGUCUUGAGUGUGGGUCCGGCGUCCCUAGUGACAGAUCUUAGGAUUUGGGUACAAGGCAUUAGACCCAUCGACUUCAAACUUCUUCGUCUCCAUUAUCUUCCCCGAGAAUGAAUACUGGAGCUUCAGCCGAUCAGGCGGUAAACACCGUUACUUCGCUGUUGGCAGCCUUGGCGCUUGCACCGGCGCCUACGGUCGCUUCGCCCGAUCAGCCUUCUGGGUCUCAACCUCGGGCUGUCCCUAUUCCUACUGCCGUGGAUCCGGUGCCGCUUCCUUCGCCGGUCAACGGUGACGCUACAAUGUCCGAUUCACAGCCGGGCACUGUUACUGGGCGCCUGUGCCCCCUCGAUCCUCUGCAGCCCGACAGACGUCGCCUUGUUUCAGUGGACGCUGCGGCAAAGGUGCAAUUGAGUUUGCCCGACCACAUUUCUUUCCUGGUCGACGAUUUGGUUGGCUACCUCGACUUGGCAGGCUAUACUCUUUCUGAUUCAGCUGCCACCAAUUGGGUCAUCUUGAGCGUGGGUCCGGCGUCCCUAGUGACAGAUCUUAGGAUUUGGGUACAAGGCAUAAGACCCAUCGACUUCAAACUUCUUCGUCUCCAUUAUCUUCCCCGAGAAUGAAUACUGGAGCUUCAGCCGAUCCGGCGGUAAACACCGUUACUUCACCGUUGGCGGCCUUGGCGCUUGCACCGGCGCCUACGGUCGCUUCACCCAAUCAGCCUUCUGGGUCUCAACCUCGGGCUGUCCCUAUUCCUACUGCCGUGGAUCCGGCACCGCUUCCUUCACCGGUCAACGGUGACACUACAAUGUCCGAUUCACAGCCGGGCACUGUUACUCGGCACCUGCACCCCUUCGAUCCUCCGCAGCCCGACAGACGUCGCCUUGUUUCAGUGGACGCUGCAGCAAAGGUGCAAUUGAGUUUGCCCGACUACAUUUCUUUCCUGGUCGACGAUUUGGUUGGCUACCUCGACUUGGCAGGCUAUACUCUUUCUGAUUCGGCUGCCACCAAUUGGGUCGUCUUGAGUGUGGGUCCGGUGUCCCUAGUGACAGAUCUUAGGAUUUGGGUACAAGGCAUUAGAUCCUUCGACUUCAAACUUCUUCGUCUCCAUUAUCCUCCCCGAGAAUGAAUACUGGAGCUUCAGCCGAUCAGGCGGUAAACACCGUUACUUCGCCGUUGGCACCUUGGUGCUUGCACCAGCGCCUACGGUCGCUUCGCCCGAUCAGCCUUCUGGGUCUCAACCUCGGGCUGUCCCUAUUCCUACUGCCGUGGAUCCGGCACCGCUUCCUUCGCCGGUCAACGGUGACACUACAAUGUCCGAUUCACAGCCGGGCACUGUUACUCGGUGCCUGCACCCCUUCGAUCCUCCGCAGCCCGACAGACGUCGCCUUGUUUCAGUGGACGCUGCGGCAAAGGUGCAAUUGAGUUUGCCCGACUACAUUUCUUUCCUGGUCGACGAUUUGGUUGGCUACCUCGACUUGGCAGGCUAUACUCUUUCUGAUUCGGCUGCCACCAAUUGGGUCGUCUUGAGUGUGGGUCCGGUGUCCCUAGUGACAGAUCUUAGGAUUUGGGUACAAGGCAUUAGAUCCAUCGACUUCAAACUUCUUCGUCUCCAUUAUCUUCCCCGAGAAUGAAUACUGGAGCUUCAGCCGAUCCGGCAGUAAACACCGUUUCUUCACCGUUGGCGGCCUUGGCGCUUGCACCGGCGCCUACGGUCGCUUCACCCAAUCAGCCUUCUGGGUCUCAACCUCGGGCUGUCCCUAUUCCUACUGCCGUAGAUCCGGCACCGCUUCCUUCGCCGGUCAACGGUGACACUACAAUGUCCGAUUCACAGCCGGGCACUGUUACUCGGUGCCUGCACCCCUUCGAUCCUCCGCAGCCCGACAGACGUCGCCUUGUUUCAGUGGAUGCUGCGGCAAAGGUGCAAUUGAGUUUGCCCGACUACAUUUCUUUCCUGGUCGACGAUUUGGUUGGCUACCUCGACUUGGCAGGCUAUACUCUUUCUGAUUCGGCUGCCACCAAUUGGGUCGUCUUGAGUGUGGGUCCGGCAUCCCUAGUGACAGAUCUUAGGAUUUGGGUACAAGGCAUUAGAUCCAUCGACUUCAAACUUCUUCGUCUCCAUUAUCUUCCCCGAGAAUGAAUACUGGAGCUUCAGCCGAUCAGGCGGUAAACACCGUUACUUCGCAGUUGGCGGCCUUGGCACUUGCACCGGCACCUACGGUCGCUUCGCCCGAUCAGCCUUCUGGGUCUCAACCUCAGGCUGUCCCUAUUCCUACUGCCGUGGAUCCGGCACCGCUUCUUUUUAUUCCGCUUUUUUUUCCUUUGCCGGUCAACGGUGACACUACAAUGUCCGAUUCACAGCCGGGCACUGUUACUCGGCGCCUGCACCCCCUCGAUCCUCCGCAGCCCGACAGACGUCGCCUUGUUUCAGUGGACGCUGCGGCAAAGGUGCAAUUGAGUUUGCCCGACUACAUUUCUUUCCUGGUCGACGAUUUGGUUGGCUACCUCGACUUGGCAGGCUAUACUCUUUCUGAUUCGGCUGCCACCAAUUGGGUCGUCUUGAGUGUGGGUCCGGCGUCCCUAGUGACAGAUCUUAGGAUUUGGGUACAAGGCAUUAGAUCCAUCGACUUCAAACUUCUUCGUCUCCAUUAUCCUCCCCGAGAAUGAAUACUGGAGCUUCAGCCGAUCAGGCGGUAAACACCGUUACUUCGCCGUUGGCACCUUGGUGCUUGCACCAGCGCCUACGGUCGCUUCGCCCGAUCAGCCUUCUGGGUCUCAACCUCGGGCUGUCCCUAUUCCUACUGCCGUGGAUCCGGCACCGCUUCCUUCGCCGGUCAACGGUGACACUACAAUGUCCGAUUCACAGCCGGGCACUGUUACUCGGUGCCUGCACCCCUUCGAUCCUCCGCAGCCCGACAGACGUCGCCUUGUUUCAGUGGACGCUGCGGCAAAGGUGCAAUUGAGUUUGCCCGACUACAUUUCUUUCCUGGUCGACGAUUUGGUUGGCUACCUCGACUUGGCAGGCUAUACUCUUUCUGAUUCGGCUGCCACCAAUUGGGUCGUCUUGAGUGUGGGUCCGGCAUCCCUAGUGACAGAUCUUAGGAUUUGGGUACAAGGCAUUAGAUCCAUCGACUUCAAACUUCUUCGUCUCCAUUAUCUUCCCCGAGAAUGAAUACUGGAGCUUCAGCCGAUCAGGCAGUAAACACCGUUACUUCACCAUUGGCGGC
Molecule: long non-coding RNA, 4268 nt
Filed under: Volvox carteri
Lineage: Eukaryota; Viridiplantae; Chlorophyta; Chlorophyceae; Chlamydomonadales; Volvocaceae
Description: long non-coding RNA (VCAR_LNC003898)
Source: RNAcentral